Molecule: non-coding RNA, 92 nt
Organism: Acanthosepion pharaonis
Lineage: Eukaryota; Metazoa; Mollusca; Cephalopoda; Sepiida; Sepiidae
Source: the annotation of a GenBank genome assembly
UCAAACACUGGUUCCCGUGUGAUCACCGAAAUUAAGUGACGUCUAGCCUAGUCAGUACUUAGAUGGUUGACCGUUUUGGAAUAUCAGGUGCC